Molecule: ribosomal RNA, 511 nt
Filed under: Proteus mirabilis
Lineage: Bacteria; Pseudomonadati; Pseudomonadota; Gammaproteobacteria; Enterobacterales; Morganellaceae
Description: partial 23S ribosomal RNA
Rfam family: Bacterial large subunit ribosomal RNA
Source: RNAcentral
GUUCUGUAAGCCUGCGAAGGUGUACUGUGAGGUAUGCUGGAGGUAUCAGAAGUGCGAAUGCUGACAUAAGUAACGAUAAUGCGGGUGAAAAACCCGCACGCCGGAAGACCAAGGGUUCCUGUCCAACGUUAAUCGGGGCAGGGUGAGUCGACCCCUAAGGCGAGGCUGAAAAGCGUAGUCGAUGGGAAACGGGUUAAUAUUCCCGUACUGGUGGUAACUGCGAUGGGGGAACGGAGAAGGCUAGGUUGUCCGGGCGACGGUCGUCCCGGUUCAAGCAGGUAGGCAGAGUGAUUAGGCAAAUCCGGUCACUUAAUGCUGAGAUGUGAUGACGAACCACCAAGGUGGUGAAGCAAUUGAUGCCCCGCUUCCAGGAAAAGCCUCUAAGCUUCAGGUUACCAACAAUCGUACCCCAAACCGACACAGGUGGUCAGGUAGAGAAUACUCAGGCGCUUGAGAGAACUCGGGUGAAGGAACUAGGCAAAAUGGUGCCGUAACUUCGGGAGAAGGCACG